GUGCCAGCCGCCGCGGUAAUACGGAGGGUGCAAGCGUUAAUCGGAAUUACUGGGCGUAAAGCGCACGCAGGCGGUUUGUUAAGUCAGAUGUGAAAUCCCCGGGCUCAACCUGGGAACUGCAUCUGAUACUGGCAAGCUUGAGUCUCGUAGAGGGGGGUAGAAUUCCAGGUGUAGCGGUGAAAUGCGUAGAGAUCUGGAGGAAUACCGGUGGCGAAGGCGGCCCCCUGGACGAAGACUGACGCUCAGGUGCGAAAGCGUGGGGAGCAAACAGGAUUAGAAACCCCCGUAGUCC
This 292-nucleotide ribosomal RNA is filed under the name uncultured fungus. Its description in RNAcentral is "partial contains 5.8S ribosomal RNA, internal transcribed spacer 2, and large subunit ribosomal RNA". It matches the Rfam family "Bacterial small subunit ribosomal RNA", at positions 505 to 796 of the family's 1533-position model. Lineage: Eukaryota; Fungi. RNAcentral also lists the same sequence under 1 other name. The record is from RNAcentral.